Molecule: ribosomal RNA, 449 nt
Filed under: uncultured bacterium
Lineage: Bacteria
Description: bacterial SSU rRNA
Rfam family: Bacterial small subunit ribosomal RNA
Source: RNAcentral
UGGGGAAUAUUGCGCAAUGGGGGAAACCCUGACGCAGCGACGCCGCGUGUGGGAUGAAGGUCUUCGGAUUGUAAACCACUGUCGCGAGGGACGAAGCUCUGACGGUACCUCGAAAGGAAGCACCGGCUAACUCUGUGCCAGCAGCCGCGGUAAUACAGAGGGUGCGAGCGUUGUCCGGAAUCACUGGGCGUAAAGGGCGCGUAGGCGGCCCGGUAAGUAGGGGGUGAAAUCUCAUGGCUCAACUGUGAGGCUGCCUUCUAGACUGCCAGGCUUGAGCACAGUAGAGGCGAGUGGAAUUCCCGGUGUAGCGGUGGAAUGCGUAGAUAUCAAGAGGAACACCUGAGGUGAAGACGGGUUGCUGGGCUGACACUGACGCUGAGGCGCGAAAGCCAGGGGAGCAAACGGGAUUAGAUACCCAGGUAGUCCCUGAGCGGGCUGGCAAGGCGCAU